RNAcentral lists this transfer RNA (73 nucleotides) under Salmo salar (Atlantic salmon). It matches the Rfam family "tRNA". From Rfam's summary of the family: Transfer RNA (tRNA) molecules are approximately 80 nucleotides in length. Their secondary structure includes four short double-helical elements and three loops (D, anti-codon, and T loops). Further hydrogen bonds mediate the characteristic L-shaped molecular structure. tRNAs have two regions of fundamental functional importance: the anti-codon, which is responsible for specific mRNA codon recognition, and the 3' end, to which the tRNAs corresponding amino acid is attached (by aminoacyl-tRNA synthetases). tRNAs cope with the degeneracy of the genetic code in two manners: having more than one tRNA (with a specific anti-codon) for a particular amino acid; and 'wobble' base-pairing, i.e. permitting non-standard base-pairing at the 3rd anti-codon position. The record is from Rfam by way of RNAcentral. Lineage: Eukaryota; Metazoa; Chordata; Actinopteri; Salmoniformes; Salmonidae. RNAcentral also lists the same sequence under 1 other name.
UCUUGUGUGGUUCAGUUGGUAGAGCAUGGCAUUUCCAAUGCCAGGGUUGUGGGUUCCAUUCCCAGUAAAAAUG